This 403-nucleotide ribosomal RNA is filed under the name uncultured soil bacterium. Its description in RNAcentral is "bacterial SSU rRNA". It matches the Rfam family "Bacterial small subunit ribosomal RNA", at positions 26 to 451 of the family's 1533-position model. The record is from RNAcentral.
AGAACGAACGCUGGCGGCAUGCCUAAUACAUGCAAGUCGAACGAACUCUUCGGAGUUAGUGGCGCACGGGUGCGUAACGCGUGGGAAUCUGCCCCUUGGUUCGGAAUAACAGUUGGAAACGACUGCUAAUACCGGAUGAUGACGAAAGUCCAAAGAUUUAUCGCCAAGGGAUGAGCCCGCGUAGGAUUAGCUAGUUGGUGAGGUAAAGGCUCACCAAGGCAACGAUCCUUAGCUGGUCUGAGAGGAUGAUCAGCCACACUGGGACUGAGACACGGCCCAGACUCCGUACGGGAGGCAGCAGGUAGGGAAUAGUGGACAAGUGGGACGAAAGCCUAGAUCCAGACAAUCGCCGCGUGAGUGAUGGAAGUCGUUAGGUAGUAAAGUCGUUACGUUUACCGGAGGU